This 632-nucleotide ribosomal RNA is filed under the name Tatumella sp. M1V-R2A-6. Its description in RNAcentral is "bacterial SSU rRNA". It matches the Rfam family "Bacterial small subunit ribosomal RNA", at positions 57 to 679 of the family's 1533-position model. The record is from RNAcentral. Lineage: Bacteria; Pseudomonadati; Pseudomonadota; Gammaproteobacteria; Enterobacterales; Erwiniaceae.
GCAGUCGAACGGUAGCACAGAGGAGCUUGCUCCUUGGGUGACGAGUGGCGGACGGGUGAGUAAUGUCUGGGAAACUGCCUGAUGGAGGGGGAUAACUACUGGAAACGGUAGCUAAUACCGCAUAAUGUCGCAAGACCAAAGCGGGGGACCUUAGGGCCUCGCACCAUCGGAUGUGCCCAGAUGGGAUUAGCUUGUAGGUGAGGUAAUGGCUCACCUAGGCGACGAUCCCUAGCUGGUCUGAGAGGAUGACCAGCCACACUGGAACUGAGACACGGUCCAGACUCCUACGGGAGGCAGCAGUGGGGAAUAUUGCACAAUGGGCGCAAGCCUGAUGCAGCCAUGCCGCGUGUAUGAAGAAGGCCUUCGGGUUGUAAAGUACUUUCAGCGGGGAGGAAGGCAGUCGUGUUAAUAGCACGAUUGAUUGACGUUACCCGCAGAAGAAGCACCGGCUAACUCCGUGCCAGCAGCCGCGGUAAUACGGAGGGUGCAAGCGUUAAUCGGAAUUACUGGGCGUAAAGCGCACGCAGGCGGUCUGUCAAGUCGGAUGUGAAAUCCCCGGGCUCAACCCGGGAACUGCAUUCGAAACUGGCAGACUAGAGUCUUGUAGAGGGGGGUAGAAUUCCAGGUGUAGC